GCCGUGGCCAUCUUACUGGGCAGCAUUGGAUGGUGUCCGAUCUCUAAUACUGCCUGGUAAUGAUGACUG
RNAcentral lists this microRNA precursor (69 nucleotides) under Octodon degus (degu). RNAcentral's name for it is "microRNA 200b (ENSODEG00000022368.1)". It matches the Rfam family "mir-8/mir-141/mir-200 microRNA precursor family". Rfam says of the family: The bounds of the precursors are predicted based on conservation and base pairing and are not generally known. The record is from RNAcentral. Lineage: Eukaryota; Metazoa; Chordata; Mammalia; Rodentia; Octodontidae.